AGUGAACGCUGGCGGUAGGCCUAACACAUGCAAGUCGAACGGCAGCACAGUAAGAGCUUGCUCUUACGGGUGGCGAGUGGCGGACGGGUGAGGAAUACAUCGGAAUCUACUUUUUCGUGGGGGAUAACGUAGGGAAACUUACGCUAAUACCGCAUACGACCUACGGGUGAAAGCAGGGGAUCUUCGGACCUUGCGCGAUUGAAUGAGCCGCUGUCGGAUUAGCUAGUUGGCGGGGUAAAGGCCCACCAAGGCGACGAUCCGUAGCUGGUCUGAGAGGAUGGUCAGCCACACUGGAACGGGGACACGGUCCAGACUCCUACGGGAGGCAGCAGUGGGGAAUAUUGGACAAUGGGCGCAAGCCUGAUCCAGCCAUACCGCGUGGGUGAAGAAGGCCUUCGGGUUGUAAAGCCCUUUUGUUGGGAAAGAAAAGCAGCAGGUUAAUACCCCGCUGUUCUGACGGUACCCAAAGAAUAAGCACCGGCUAACUUCGUG
This 492-nucleotide ribosomal RNA is filed under the name uncultured bacterium. Its description in RNAcentral is "partial 16S ribosomal RNA". It matches the Rfam family "Bacterial small subunit ribosomal RNA", at positions 29 to 507 of the family's 1533-position model. The record is from RNAcentral.